UGCCAGCAGCCGCGGUAAUACGUAGGUGGCAAGCGUUGUCCGGAAUUAUUGUGCGUAAAGGGCUCGCAGGCGGUGUCUUAAGUCUGAUGUGAAAGCCCCCGGCUCAACCGUGGAGGGUCAUUGGAAACUGGUGAACUUGAGUGCAGAAGAGGAGAGUGGAAUUCCACGUGUAGCGGUGAAAUGCGUAGAGAUGUGGAGGAACACCAGUGGCGAAGGCGACUCUCUGGUCUGUAACUGACGCUGAGGAGCGAAAGCGUGGGGAGCGAACAGGAUUAGAUACCCUGGUAGUCCACGCCGUAAACGAUGAGUGCUAAGUGUUAGGGGGUUUCCGCCCCUUAGUGCGGCAGCUAACGCAUUAAGCACUCCGCCUGGGGAGUACGGUCGCAAGACUGAAACUCAAAGGAAUUGACGGG
This 413-nucleotide ribosomal RNA is filed under the name Bacillus velezensis. RNAcentral's name for it is "bacterial SSU rRNA". It matches the Rfam family "Bacterial small subunit ribosomal RNA", at positions 506 to 917 of the family's 1533-position model. Lineage: Bacteria; Bacillati; Bacillota; Bacilli; Caryophanales; Bacillaceae. The record is from RNAcentral.